GACGAACGCUGGCGGCGUGCUUAACACAUGCAAGUCGAACGGUAAGGCCCUUCGGGGUACACGAGUGGCGAACGGGUGAGUAACACGUGGGUGAUCUGCCCUGCACUUCGGGAUAAGCCUGGGAAACUGGGUCUAAUACCGGAUAGGACUCCGGACUGCAUGGUCUGGGGUGGAAAGCUUUUGCGGUGUGGGAUGGGCCCGCGGCCUAUCAGCUUGUUGGUGGGGUGAUGGCCUACCAAGGCGACGACGGGUAGCCGGCCUGAGAGGGUGACCGGCCACACUGGGACUGGGAUACGGCCCAGACUCCUACGGGAGGCAGCAGUGGGGAAUAUUGCACAAUGGGCGGAAGCCUGAUGCAGCGACACCGCGUGAGGGAUGACGGCCUUCGGGCUGUAAACCUCUUUCAGCAUCGACGAAGCGAAAGUGACGGUAGGUGCAGAAGAAGGACCGGCCAACUACGUGCCAGCCGCCGCGGUAA
This 478-nucleotide ribosomal RNA is filed under the name uncultured bacterium. Its description in RNAcentral is "partial 16S ribosomal RNA". It matches the Rfam family "Bacterial small subunit ribosomal RNA", at positions 28 to 523 of the family's 1533-position model. The record is from RNAcentral.